GAUUGCCUUGCCUCACACAGGACCUUGGUGUGUGAAUAGCUCACACUGACUGAACUGGAUAACUGGGCAGGAGGACUCAUUUGCUGUGCCUGUGGGCUUAAUAAAAAGAAACAGCUUGCCGGUAACUGCUUGCUAUAUGCAUGUAGACCAGACUUUGGACUGCCACAAAAGAAGAAGAAGAGGGAACCUAAUCAGAUUUUCGCUCUCCACCUUACCUUCGGAAUCUCUGCAUUUCUCACUCAUGAAAUUUCAUUGAAUCAGAUCAAAUAAUCCUGCCCUAGAACAGCCAGAGAGAUUGCAUUGGAAUUCUGUGACACACGCUAAGGAGGAUCUCUGUUCCAAGCAUAUGAAUGGGAUUCAAGACUGACUACUGGCAACUUAAUGAGUGCCUAUAAAUAACUCAACAUAGCUCUGCCAAACAAACAUUGGGAUGAGCUGAAGUCACAAUUGAUCCACAGUGCCAGCCUUCUCAGGCAACCAGUUGUUUCCAUUAGCAGUGCAAAUUCUUGGCCAGCAGUAAAGCUUAAAUAGAAUGAUGAUUCCCUGAAAAUGUGGUCUUCUUCCCUACACUGCAAGCAUCACAUUCAGACAUAAUGGGGAUGCAUGCAGUAGAUCUUAUGAAGAAAGAAAGCCACACUUGAUGCCUUAAUUCUCAUACUGCUUUGUUUCUCAAAUAAACUGAUUUGUCUUGAACACACAAAUAAAGCAUAUGAUUGCAUGUUCCACACUUUUAAAUCAGUAAAUUAGGCUUGCAAAGCUGCUUUUUUAAAAGCCCCAAAUUAUUGUGGCCCCAAUCUUUGGAACCUAACUUGGUUGCUAGAGAAAGAGACUGCAUGCUACAUUAAAAUUCCAGUGUGGUAUGGUUAGAUUAUUUAAAAUGUGGAUGGAAUAAAGUAGCAAACCUAACUUGGGUGCUUGGUCUCUUGAUUUCCUCCUUUUCUGUAUCAUGGGGACUACUUUACGUGGUUGAGCCAUAUGUGGGGAUUUUACUGAUCUUUACAGCAUUACACAUUUGCAUCUUCUUGUAUUUUGACAGUUUCCAUCUCAGUGCUACAGUGGUACUACCACUGGUAAUCUAAGCAUUGCAUUUUCUGAUAAGACUAAAGGGGCAGGAUCAUCAGGUGUGUGCAAUCCCAUUCUGUAGAUUCUCCUCUCUGCAUGAAUCCCUAUAGACACAGACAGCUUAAACCUGAGUAUCAUGGUUGCAAUCCUACGUUUCAUCAUUGUGUAAUCUUUUGAAUCCAGGGCAUAUGUACAGAAGGAAGAUGAAUGUGUUAAACCUGGUUUGACAUGAACAACUGCAUCAGUUAUUUAAAUAUUUUAUGAGGGUUUUUUUUAAUUGUUUAUUUUUUCCAGA
Hemicordylus capensis (graceful crag lizard) is the source of this 1357-nucleotide long non-coding RNA. RefSeq lists it as uncharacterized. The record is from RefSeq and is a predicted model, not a curated record. The transcript has 3 exons. Lineage: Eukaryota; Metazoa; Chordata; Lepidosauria; Squamata; Cordylidae.